Molecule: long non-coding RNA, 1177 nt
Filed under: Taeniopygia guttata (zebra finch)
Lineage: Eukaryota; Metazoa; Chordata; Aves; Passeriformes; Estrildidae
Description: lncRNA (ENSTGUG00000028087.1)
Source: RNAcentral
UUUUUGUUUUUUUUUUUUUUUUUUUUGCAAUAACAGAUGUUUGAGCAAUUUGAGAAAGCAAAUAGUGCAUGGAGCAUGGGUACCACAUCAGUGAACUGCAGUUCAGUUUAAGAAUGCAGCUGCAGAAACACACUCCUCAAUACAUCAGAUUCAAGUUUUUGGGGAUGAAAUGUGCCAUACAUGAGGUCCAAAACCCAGCUUUCUGGAACCAAGGACCUGCUUGCACCUGAGUGAGAUGCCCUUUCAAGCUGCUCUCCUGCAUAUUUUCCCUAUUAAAUCCCAGUAGAUUAUGGUUUAUAACAACAGUUAUGAGACAUGAGAUUGGGAUGCAGCUGGGACAUAUGCUUAGACACAGAAACUGAGAUUUAUUUCCAUGUAAGCAGCUACCCUGAUAAUUUGCAAGUACAUCUUUCCUCCAAGGACCUGAAAGAACUUCACAAAUAUUGUUGGAGGCCCAGAAUGUUCUUGCACUUAAGUAAACUCCUUCUUAGAGAGGUUAAGUGAUUUAUUUGAGGUUUCUCAGUAAAUCAGAGGUAGAGGUAGGAAGUGAAACAAGAUCAUGACUGCAAAUGACAUCCUUUAACCUUUGGAGGUGCUACUGUGUAUGAAGGCCUGACCCCACCAGCCUCACUCAGAGGAGCAGUGUCUCUGAAGUUAAUGGGAUGACUGGCGUGAGAAAAGGGCUGCAAUAUUUGCCUCUUUAGGCCUUUCUCUGUGAAGUGUUUAAUAUUUCCCCAGAGGUAUGUUUGGCUUCACCUCCUACGGAGUGUCUUAUAGCAACAACAACCACAGCAACAGAAAAGUCAGUCCCAUUUUCUUCAUUUAGUGCUUCACAUCAGGAUCCAAGGCGAGCACUCUCUCUGGGCAGGCGCUAAGCCACGGGGACCUGAAGAGAGUUGGUGUUUCUUGGAAAUGGGUUUUGACUUCUCUGCUUUACUCCUUCACAGGGAAAGAAGAGAUUUUGGGAUACAGUAAGGACCUGCAUGUUUCUCAGCUGGUAAAAAAACAUAGUUCAUAUUUCUUCUCAGCAAAAUUUUGGCGCUACCCCAAAUUCAGCAAUCACAAAGACUAAUAUGUAAGAAAGACUGCACUAAAAAUAUAAUGUAAAAAUAUAUCUUUAAUAGAAUGAGACCAGAAUUCCCAAAUUCUUUCUUUUUCCUCUGCAGAAAAAAAAAAA